Molecule: unclassified non-coding RNA, 224 nt
Filed under: plant metagenome
Description: partial contains small subunit ribosomal RNA, internal transcribed spacer 1, and 5.8S ribosomal RNA
Source: RNAcentral
UUUCCGUAGGUGAACCAGCGGAAGGAUCAUUACAGAGUUCAUUCCCAACAGGCUCGACCUCCCACCCUUCUGUAUUAUUUCUUUGUUGCUGUGCCGGGCUGCCCUUGGGCCCCGGGCGUUCACGCGUGAGCACGCGCGCCAGAGGAUACUAAUACUCUUGUUAUUACUGUCGUUUUAGUACUCUAGAAUAGUUAAAACUUUCAACAACGGAUCUCUUGGUUCUG